GCUGGGUGUGGUGGCGCAAGUCUGUAAUCCCAGUGGCUUGGGAGGCUGAGGCAGGAGGAUCAUGAGUUCAAAGCUAGCCUCAGCAACUUAGUGAGGCCCUAAGCAAUUCAGGGAGACCCUGCCUCAU
This 127-nucleotide small RNA is filed under the name Marmota monax (woodchuck). The record is from RNAcentral. Lineage: Eukaryota; Metazoa; Chordata; Mammalia; Rodentia; Sciuridae.